CCUACGGGUGGCAGCAGUGAGGAAUAUUGGUCAAUGGACGAGAGUCUGAACCAGCCAAGUAGCGUGAAGGAUGACUGCCCUAUGGGUUGUAAACUUCUUUUAUAUGGGAAUAAAAUGUUCCCCGUGUGGGAUUUUGUAUGUACCAUAUUAAUAAGUAUCUGCUAACUCCGUGCCAGCAGCCGCGGUAAUACGGAGGAUCCGAGCGUUAUCCGGAUUUAUUGGGUUUAAAGGGAGCGUAGGUGGACUGUUAAGUCAGUUGUGAAAGUUUGCGGCUCAACCGUAAAAUGGCAGUUGAAACUGGCAGUCUUGAGUACAGUAGAGGUGGGCGGAAUUCGUGGUGUAGCGGUGAAAUGCUUAGAUAUCACGAAGAACUCCGAGUGCGAAGGCAGUUCACUGGACUGCAACUGACACUGAGGCUCGAAAGUGUGGGUAUCAAACAGGAUUAGAUACCCGAGUAGUC
RNAcentral lists this ribosomal RNA (460 nucleotides) under uncultured bacterium. RNAcentral describes it as "partial 16S ribosomal RNA". It matches the Rfam family "Bacterial small subunit ribosomal RNA", at positions 338 to 795 of the family's 1533-position model. The record is from RNAcentral.